Naja naja (Indian cobra) is the source of this 2798-nucleotide long non-coding RNA. The record is from Ensembl. Lineage: Eukaryota; Metazoa; Chordata; Lepidosauria; Squamata; Elapidae.
AUGAGCACACAAAGGAAUCCGAAACUCGGACGGACGGACCGGGGGGGAGGGAGGAGGAGUGCUUUCAUUCAGGCCAGCUUUCCCGGCCCUUCUUUCGCCAGACAGCGGCGUCUCCUCCCGCCUAGACACUCCCUGCUAACCCCCGCCGGCGUCCCCCGUCUCCUCGCUUGCCACGUCCCACAUCUUCGACUACAGCCGGGGCUCGCAAACCGGGCCCGCCGGCGGGAGGAGCGGCAGUUUCUUCGCGCUGGAGUCGAAGGGAAACGGAGGCACGGGAGGAGAACGGCCAGCCGAACGACCAUUGAAGUUUAAUAACGCACGACGGCGGGAAGGGAGAGGAGAACCGGGUCGGGCUCGUCUGCCUGCCCUCCCGCGCUUGGGAACGGCUGGCGCGGAGACUCAGCGAACAAAGAGGCAAACAGGGAGGGAGGGAGGGAGGAAGAGAGAGAGACUGAGAGAGAUUAGCGCAGGGCUGGCAAGACCAGGAAAGAGGCCGCUACUCACAGGAAUAUGGUUACUCAUUGAAGACUGUAGCCUGAUCAUACAGCCUCGGUGCUGAGGGCGCCACCGCCGGGGGCAGGAGGAGCUAAGCCGGAGGGAACUGGAGAAGGAGGCGGCGGCGGAGGUGGUGCCGGAGCAGGGCGGCGGCGAUGGACCAUACAGGGCGCGGAGCAGCCGGGGAGAGAGAGAGAGAGAGAGAGAGAGCGAGACGGGGAUGCCAGGAGAAGGCGAAAGAGGAGGAGCUCCGGCCGCUGGCGACGAAACUGUUGCUAACGCGGCACUGACGGCAGAAAGAAAAAGCGACUGGAGGAGGGAGGGGGCCAGAGGCGGAGGGAGGGCGCUUCCGUUCGUUCGCGCAAGGCAAGUAGGGGGACGGGGGCGGGCAGAGAUGUCUUAAGCACCGCCUUGCACUCUCCAGCUUGCAAUCGUGCGACGUCCCGCCCCGCUUAGCUGACGCCUUCAAAGCUCGGCCGCCUGGCGUCACAAACGUCUCUCGCCGAAUGGCACAGCUCCCGGCCAAUCGGAGGGCUCGGGCGAGUUGAGCCGAUAUGGCCAGCCGUGUGGCAGUGGGCUAGGAGCUGAGGAGGAGGAGGACGGGAAGAGGGCCAAGGAGAAUGCUAGAGAGACGCGAAGGGAGGGCGGGGCGAAGGAAAGGAGGAGAAAGCCGGUGGAAACCGGUUAGAGAAAGUCGGCUAGCUAGCCGUGGCCGGCCAAGCUCGCAGACAGACGGGGUGGGUGGGACAAGGCGAAGGUUCGCUCCCAUUGGUCGGCUGCUGCUGCUAUUCCUUCGACUCUGGUCCUCUUGUUGCACUUCUUGAAAGGCAACUGGAAUUCUUCCGCGAAUCGCAGGAAUGUAAUUUAGUGGGUUGAUGCUUUGAGAUGGUUCCAGAAGCAGUGCUCGUGAUAGCCUUUUGCAACGCAGUGUAAUUUACAAGCCGACCUGUAAAGUAGCAUCAAGCCAGAAUAUAGAUGAGAGGUCUUUGUAUCCACCACGUCUUAAGCGUUACGUAUUUGGAGUGAGAUUCCCCUCGAACUCAAGAUUGUCAGAUGAGAUCCCUUUAGCACCGUGCGGCUAAACUCCGUGGUUUUCAUGCGGGCAACUGCUGGGUGUGGGGUCGGCUUGUUACUCACGAAUUACAACUUCGAGACAUCUAAAUCUCAGAUUUUAUUAUGGAGCAACGCAGACCCAAAUUGCUCCCUUGCAGGCUGAGGAUAAGAGUUCAUAACGGCAUGCAUCAGGCGAAUUGUUUCCUUAAAAGUUAUGCCACAAUUUGAGAAUCAAGAUGUCACAAGACGUUAAUUUUUAUGAAAGUCUAAUUGGGUGAAAGUUUCUGUUUGCAGCAUUAUGGUUCUGAAUUAUCUAUCCACUUGCCAGUUUGAACUGUGGGAGCAUUACAGCCCUAUCCCAUAAUCAGUUUCACAGCAAGCUUUGUUCAACUUAUAUGGUGCCCAUUUUAUUCUGAAAAGACUGGGUAGCUUCACAACAGAUUACAGCUUUAAAAUAAAUAAAACCCUACAAAUGUUCAGUAUUUACAAUUCAGAUUCUAGUUUAUAUAGGUGUGUUUUAGCAAUAGAAUAUUGCUGGUUGUGUUAUUCAAUUAAUUUCUAAUAUUGAAUGCGACAAAUUCACAUCUCUGCUAGCAUUGGUUUCCAGAAGUCUUAAAUUGACACUUACCAAGGAAGGAAAGCUGUUCUGUAUCUGCACAACCCUUUUAUUCUAAUAUAGUGAACGUUGUAUCCUGAGUCUACAAUAUACUUUAAUCUGUUACAACUUCUCUAGAAUUCUGUGAGGUGGGCAAUGGUAUACAUUACCUAAUUACCUAAAUAUAUAAAAAAUAACAGACUCCAGUAGAACAGGCAUUUAUUGCUGGAGAUACUAAAAUGUGAAAAUCUGUGUAAACAAUUUAGGAUUAAGAGUGUUUUCUGUGUUAGGGAUGUAUUUAGAAGAAAUAGCAUUGUGAUUAGAUUUAGAAUGAUAACUCCACAUUAAUCAUGCAGAUUGGGCAUGGAUCUAUUUGAAGCCAAAAACUUCUGGAAGAACACUCACAAUAAAUAUCUGGAUUAAAAUAAUCAUAUUGGGAUUAGGAGAAUCUAAAUUGAAAUGCACAACUGACCUUAAGGAAGAGGGCAGUUUAUAUCUCCUUGAAGGAGAUGAAACUAUUGAAGAAAUAUUGACAUUUAGGUAGGGAAAAGUGCUACAAUCACCUACCUAAUUUUAUUCAUUUUUAAAGGGUAGCAUUUCACCUUACUUGUUAUUCCUCCACAUGACACCAGAUUUUAAUAAUCAUAGCUCUGAA